This is a long non-coding RNA of Mustela lutreola (European mink), 982 nucleotides long. RefSeq lists it as uncharacterized. The record is from RefSeq and is a predicted model, not a curated record. NCBI's taxonomy places the organism in Eukaryota, Metazoa, Chordata, Mammalia, Carnivora, Mustelidae. The transcript has 3 exons.
GGCGGCCUCCAAGGAGGCCGGGAGCAAGCAGGCUCCUCCGCCGCCUCUCCCGCAGCCAGUGAGUCAGGCAGCGAGCUGCCAGCCAGGAACAAAAGAAUCACACAGCUGGGUGCUUGUUCGUCCAUUUUGGUUCCCAAGCACAUGCUCUGUAGAUGGUUCUUUACACCUGACAAACAGCACUUUGAACAGUACCUGGAGAGAACCAGUGGGCCUGUCCCCUGGCUCACACUGAGGAACCACUGUCUUCUAUAGCAGAAAGAGCCCAAGCAGAAAGAAGCUACAGAACACCAUUGCUCGAAGCAAACCAAGCUGGACUCUCCUCUAAGUUUCUUUCGUUGCUUAAGUCCCAUGUAUUCUCCUCCAACUACUAAGUAGGAGAUGGUACAGGGGUAACCCACUAAUAAUGGUAAUAGGUUUCCUUCCAGGUAAAAAAAAUUUUUAAAUGUAAAUUUUCUUGCAGACCAUAGGUUUUGAGUAUUUGUUAAAUGAAUGAAUAAAUGGGAAUGAGUGUGAUUUUCUAUGGUAUAUAAUGAUUUUAGGGUUUUCUGUAUAUAGUAUUGUGUCAAGUGCAAAUAGUAUAAAAUUUACUUCUUCCUUAAAAAUUUAGAUACCUUUUAUUUCCUUUUCUUGUCUAAUUACUAUGGCUGGGAUUCCCAGUACUAUGUUGAGUAAAGGUGGUGAGAGUGGACAUUUUUGUCUUGUUCCUGGUUUUAGAGGAAAAACUCUCAGUUUUUUUUUACCUUUGAGUAUGGCAUUAGCUAUGCGUUUUUCAUAUACGGCUUUUAUUAUAUUAAGGUAUAUUCCCUCUAAAACUACUUUGUUGAGAAUUUUAUAUCAAUGAAUUUUAUCCCAUGAAUGGAUAUUGUACUUUGUCAACUGCUUUUUCUGUGUCUAUUGAGAUUAUCAUAUUUUUUCCUUUCUCUUGUUAAAGUAAUAUAUCACGUUGAUUGAUUUGUAAUAAAUUCCACUUGCUUGUGUUGAA